This 491-nucleotide ribosomal RNA is filed under the name uncultured bacterium. Its description in RNAcentral is "partial 16S ribosomal RNA". It matches the Rfam family "Bacterial small subunit ribosomal RNA", at positions 29 to 507 of the family's 1533-position model. The record is from RNAcentral.
AGUGAACGCUGGCGGUAGGCCUAACACAUGCAAGUCGAACGGCAGCACAGUAAGAGCUUGCUCUUACGGGUGGCGAGUGGCGGACGGGUGAGGAAUACAUCGGAAUCUACUUUUUCGUGGGGGAUAACGUAGGGAAACUUACGCUAAUACCGCAUACGACCUACGGGUGAAAGCAGGGGAUCUUCGGACCUUGCGCGAUUGAAUGAGCCGAUGUCGGAUUAGCUAGUUGGCGGGGUAAAGGCCCACCAAGGCGACGAUCCGUAGCUGGUCUGAGAGGAUGGUCGGCCAACCUGAAACUGAGCACGGGUCCAGCCUCCACGGGAGGCAGCAGUGGGGAAUAUUGGACAAUGGGCGCAAGCCUGAUCCAGCCAUACCGCGUGGGUGAAGAAGGCCUUCGGGUUGUAAAGCCCUUUUGUUGGGAAAGAAAAGCAGCAGGUUAAUACCCCGCUGUUCUGACGGUACCCAAAGAAUAAGCACCGGCUAACUUCGUG